CGCGUAGGCGGUGUCUUAAGUGAGAUGUGCAAUCCCCGGGCUCAACUUGGGAACUGCAUCUCAGACUGGGGUGCUAGAGUGCUGGAGAGGGUGGUGGAAUUCCACGUGUAGCGGUGAAAUGCGUAGAGAUGUGGAGGAACACCAGUGGCGAAGGCGGCCACCUGGACAGCAACUGACGCUGAGGCGCGAAAGUGUGGGGAGCAAACAGGAUUAGAUACCCUGGUAGUCCACGCUGUAAACGAUGAACACUUGGUGUGGUGGGAGUUGACCCCUGCCGUGCCGGAGCUAACGCGUUAAGUGUUCCGCCUGGGGAGUACGGUCGCAAGGCUGAA
This 332-nucleotide ribosomal RNA is filed under the name uncultured bacterium. Its description in RNAcentral is "bacterial SSU rRNA". It matches the Rfam family "Bacterial small subunit ribosomal RNA", at positions 568 to 898 of the family's 1533-position model. The record is from RNAcentral.